Molecule: transfer RNA, 76 nt
Filed under: Yersinia enterocolitica
Lineage: Bacteria; Pseudomonadati; Pseudomonadota; Gammaproteobacteria; Enterobacterales; Yersiniaceae
Description: tRNA-Phe
Rfam family: tRNA
About the family: Transfer RNA (tRNA) molecules are approximately 80 nucleotides in length.
Source: RNAcentral
CCCGGAUAGCUCAGUCGGUAGAGCAGGGGAUUGAAAAUCCCCGUGUCCUUGGUUCGAUUCCGAGUCCGGGCACCAU